GCUAUCUGCAGUCGAGCGGACCAUUGGAGCUUGCUCCUUUGGUUUAGCGGCGGACGGGUGAGUAACACGUGGGCAACCUGCCCUGCAGAUCGGGAUAACUCCGGGAAACCGGUGCUAAUACCGAAUAGUUUGCGGCCUCUCAUGAGGCUGCACGGAAAGACGGUUUCGGCUGUCACUGCAGGAUGGGCCCGCGGCGCAUUAGCUAGUUGGUGGUGUACGUCUCUGCAAGUAAAUGUAUUUAAAUUCG
RNAcentral lists this ribosomal RNA (247 nucleotides) under Bacillus sp. J11455. RNAcentral describes it as "partial 16S ribosomal RNA". It matches the Rfam family "Bacterial small subunit ribosomal RNA", at positions 60 to 295 of the family's 1533-position model. The record is from RNAcentral. Lineage: Bacteria; Bacillati; Bacillota; Bacilli; Caryophanales; Bacillaceae.